Molecule: ribosomal RNA, 253 nt
Filed under: uncultured bacterium
Lineage: Bacteria
Description: partial 16S ribosomal RNA
Rfam family: Bacterial small subunit ribosomal RNA
Source: RNAcentral
UACAUGGGGUGCAAGCGUUGCUCGGAAUUAUUGGGCGUAAAGCGCACGUAGGCGGUUCGUUAAGUCGGAUGUGAAAGCCCUCGGCUCAACUGAGGAAGUGCACCCGAAACUGGCGAGCUUGAGUACGAAAGAGGAUCGCGGAAUUCCCGGUGUAGAGGUGAAAUUCGUAGAUAUUCGCAAGAACACCAGUGGCGAAGGCGGCUCACUGGCCCGGUACUGACGCUGAGGUGCGAAAGCGUGGGGAGCAAACAGG